UACUAGUAAAUGAAAAAUAUAGUAAAGUAUUUACAUUUAACCUAAGCACUUAUACUUGAAGUCAUUAGAUUAUUCAUGGUGUGUGUAUGUGUGUGUGUGUGUGUGUGUGUGUGUGUGUGUGUGUGUGUGUAUGUGUGUGGUACAUGGAUCUGAGGUGAGUGAUGGGUGUCUGUGGGUGUGAAAAUGUGGAGGACAGGGGAAAACAUUGGGGUCUCCUGUCACUCUUUACCUACUAUCUUGAGACAGGGUCUCUCACUGAACUGGUAGCUUGCUCUUUUGAUUAGGCUUCCUUGUCAGUGAGCUCCCAGGAUCCACUUGACUGCUCCACGGAUGCUAGUUUACAGGCAUGUGGCUCUGUGGUGGAGAUUUUAAUUCAGAUUCUUAGGAUUGCAUAGCAAGCACUCUUACCCACUGCUCCUUCUUCUCAGUUCCUAUUCACAGUACUGAAUACAAUGUAAAUGUUAUGCAAAUAGUUGUUAACAAUGUUAACAAUAGCUGGGCACCAUAGUGCACACCUGUAAUCCCUGCACUUUGGAGACAGAGGCAGAAAGAUCAGGAGUUCCAGCCUAUCCUCAGCUACACAGUGAUUUCAGAGCCAGCCUGGGCUACAUGAGAGUUUGACAUAACAAGAUAAAACAAAACAUGUAGCAGUGAUUUAUUUGGGCACACAAUGACAAAACAGUCCCUACCUGUUUAGUAUAGUUGCACUGUCCUCUACCCCCUGAGUAUCUAUCUGAAUCUUUGGUUGCUGAACUUCUAGUUAAGGCAGACUGACUGUGCUGUAUAAAGCUCUUAGCCUGAGGCCUGGCUUACAAAGGACAUUUAGUAAAUGGAUGUCAUUACUGUUGCUAUUAUGAAUGCCUUGAAGGGUAUUUCCACAGAGGGCAUUUCUGGAAGGAGUCUCAUUUGGCACUGGGUACAUCCUCAGGACCUAAAGACUGUUCUGUGAGAGUUGACCCUUAGGUUUCAGAUGUGCAGGGCAGAAUGUUCUUUGUAGUAGAGGGAUCCUUCCUUGAGAGCAAUCACAGUCCAUUCUGUGGUUUAGCAGCAGAGAAGAGCUGCACACACAAUCUGCAAGAGCUCAUCAGCUCGUGGUUUCUGAGUCACUGUUAGGUCAUUUCAGCUCCAAACAGGAGGCCUGGGCCGGAAGGGCAGUGGCUGGAGACAACUGGACCUUACCAGAGAUCCUCCUUCAGGAUCAGCCUCUGCAUGGAAGCCUAGCUAGGGCUGAGAGAUGCUCAGUAUUUGUUUCUAGGAUAAAAACAGAGGCCCUAGUGGAAAGGGUGCUCUCAGUAAGGUCCAGCUGCAGAGCUGGGCAGCUCCUGGGUUCUCUGCUCUCUUGUCCUAUGCUUGUCCACAGAUCCUGGUUGAAAGGAAAAGUAUUGGCUCAGGACCCUGAAGGCCAAGUUCUCAGCACAAAGGAGAUUUAUUUGCCCCGGAGGGACAGGGGGCAGGGAUAAUGGUCAAAGACAGAAGAUAGAGGAAGAGGGAGAAGGGGAAGGGAACCAGGGAAAGGGGACAGGGGUACUUGUUCCAGAGGGACAAAGGACUGUCUGGAUGGAGAGGAGACAGAUGUGGCACAUAGGUAAAUGGAAGUUUAUAAAAGUGCAAUGGGGAAACCCUGUGUUAGGAUGAGGUGUUUAAUUUUAAUUGGACAUGUUAAUUAGGUGAACCAAUGGGUGAUUUUGAUUGUUGGACUUCAAUACUUUGAUAGCUGGACCUUGGUAGUCAGCUUCAGGAGGAGGCAGUAGCCAUAAAAGGGAAUUGAGCUUGGGACUAGCUUCAGGAAUGUGAGGCAAACGUGAUAAGCACUACACUACAGAAACAACAUGCUUAGUUUCAGGAAUGUAAUCCAAUGGUUUUUAGCAAAGCUGAAGGAGAAGGAAGGGCAAGGCCUGCUGGAGUCACAUGCUGGAGUGGCUAGUUGUCCCUUCACUGAUGAGUUCUUCCUUGAGUUUGCCACAAGCUCACUUCUAGACUGGGUCAAGACAGGGGAAUGGUAGAGAGGAAUGGGCAGCAUGCUUAGAGGGUAUUGGAGUCCCAUUCUACAUGUGUCCCCAGGAAAGACAGAAAUAAAAGCAAGAAUAUCCAGGCUUGGUAGGAAGAAAUAAAGGCAGGUCACAGGCUUAAGAAAAAGGAGUCCCCAGAACAGAGAGCAGAAAGUAUGCCCUAUCUCAGGUGAAGCAUGUUUGGAGAUCCAAUAGAGAGAGCAGACUUUAGGACCUGGGAAAACCUCUGUCUCCAGUCUCCCUCAGAGCCACACAGCCAAAGGCCUUUUUAUCCUGCGGCCACUCUGAGGUGGCAUCCUGGACUCACUGGCUGACAAGGGUACUAGGAUGCUUAGGGUCUCAGAGGGGUAAAGAAGUGUGUGUGUGUGUGUGUGUGUGUGUGUGUGUGUGUGUGUGUGUGUUGCUGCUCCACUCCUGUCCACAUUGUAGCUCCUGUAGCCAUAAGUCGCCCUGUCCUGCACACGCUGUCCUGUCACACCUGGGGCCUUAUCUUGCAGGACUCAGCCAGCAAGACUUUACGUCUUGCUCUCUUUGGGCUCUGAGAGCCCUUUGGGAGAAGGAGGAUUUCAUUUGACUAAGUUCGUGCUCUGGUUGAGACCCUGAGCAGGAGCUGAGCAGCAGGAGUGAGAGGGGUUGAGAUGAAACACUGAGGAGUGGAGAGCUGGAGAGAAAGAAAUGAUUGGGAUGGAAGGACCAAGGGAGGAGAGAAGCACACAUGGAGCCUGGGAAGGAAUGGGGACAGGCAGGUAGAGGGUUCAUGGACAAAAGACAGGUGGGGUCAGAGGACAGAGUUGACCUGAACAGUCAAUAUAAUCCCAGAAAGAAUUCCCAUCAGUCAUAUAACACAGGGCGACAAGGGCUGCAAAUGGCUCCCUAAUGGGUGAGGUGCAGAUCUCUCCCGAAGACCCCACGUUGGCUUCCAGUCACUAAGUCAGAGUGAGUUUGGAGUACAGACCAGCUCUCCUCUUCUCAGAAAUGACAACAGGGAGGGUACAAAACAAGACAGAGUCACCAGUAAAAAAUCAACAAUAUAGCCCUGUAAGCAGAGCUCACACAGUUGGCUGACCAUUCAUCCUGACUAAAACCAAAACCAGCUCUCUCAUGAGAGACAGGACCAGGAGGUCAGGCCCUCUGCUUUUGGCAUCCCUACUUAGCUCAGGAGAAUAAAGAAAGGCUCUUUGUCACAUGUUUCUUCUCAAACCUUAAGCAGUAUCCUCAAAGGGCCUCAGUCCCUUAACCCUAAUGAGACCCCUCAAGAGGCCUGUACCUCUUACCCAGGAGAAGGCCCCUAAAGAGGCCUAUCCUCUUAAACAGAACUGAAUUCAGUAUGCAGACACACCUCCUAGUAGUGCCAGAAGGAUGACCCAUUUUGGUGUCUGGGCCACACAGCAGUUAUUACAAACCUUUCUCGGCUCAGUGGGAGGCAUGGAGUCCUGGGACAUCAUCUCUAUGGAGCAACUCCUCUAACUUCUCUACUUCCUAGGGCAGUCCAGAGAGAGGCCAAGUCCUGGGUGAGGGGGUACCUUUCUGGGGCCUCCAAAAAGUGAAAUAAUCCAUAUGAAAGACAUAGACAGCCGCAUGAAUUAAACCAAUUAAGAGUUGAGAACCCUUUCAUUUUGGCCAGAGUGGCCUGGAGUGGGGUAAUGCCUCAGUCUCUUGGUGUUGAAGCUCAGGGGUACAGCGUUUUUUAAAGGCAUAACCCACAGAAACCACAAUUACCUUCAAUGUCAGAUGAGGGUUGGGGCAGUGUAGCCUUGAAACAUCUGUUUAGGUGGAACACAGUGGCUACUUCAGAUACAACAUGACAAUUAAUUUUGAUUUGUACCUUUUUCAGUUAUCAUAGGUUAUGUUUAGUUUGUAUAAACAUUACUUCUUUUGGUUAUCCACUGGACCAUGGACAGGGUCAUGGCAAUCCCAAAUGUGUUGCCCAGGCAGAUGUGGCUAUUGGGAGACAGAGAGUUGAGGGGUCUAAGCAGACACAAAUGGAGUCAGGACAUGAUGGCAUUGCUUUCGUCCCUUCAGCUAUGUGAGUGGGGCUGGGAGACACAGAGCAGGGAAACACUUGUGUGGUCUAAUCAGCAAUGCUACCAGAAAGCCUCCUGUGCCCUUUACUUCUGUGACUAGCAAUUGAACUUUCUGUCAGCCCAUUUCCAGAGUUCACGGUCUGUGCAGUACUUGGGGGGCAGGCGGACCAGGCAGCUUAUUGGCUAAGAAUAUCAACUGAGGGGCUGGAGAAGGCUCAGUGGUUAAAAGCUCUUACCGCCCUUGCAGAGGACCUGGUUUGGUUUCCAGCACCUACAUGACAGCUCUCAUCCGUUUAGAACUCUAGUUGCAGAGGAUCUGACACACCUCUUCUCACCUCUGAGGGUUCCCAUUUGCAUGGAGAGCACAUACAUACUCAUGUACACACACACACACACACACACACACACACACACACACACACACACACGAUAAAAUGUUUGUAAAGAAAGCUGAGUCAGAGUACCCUGGCUUGUACUACCCUGUAACACAAAUAAAUUAUGACUCAGAGACAGACAUUUGGGUUCAAGCUUCAAGCUGAAUGUCAGAAAAGCAAAGCAACUGGCCACUAGCUUCUGACCUCUGCCUCAGGCUGAAUGGGUUGGUCCUGUCUCCACGAGUUCUUACCAAGCCUCAAACUGUAACCUCCCUCAGUGUGGCUGGAGAAGGAAUGCCUCUCUGAGGCCUUGCUUCUGUUUUAUAUACUUCCCUAAUGUUGGGAUUAAAGGUGUGAGCUAUAAUUCUCUUUUAGAAUGAUUCACUCUUGUGUAGAUCUGGGUGGCCUUGGGUUCACAGAGAUUCAUCUAUCUCUUAAUCCUGAGUCCUAGGAUUAAAGGAAACAAAGAGAAAAGAAGAAGGGUUUGAGACUUCGAAAUUCCUUUGAAGACACACUUCUGGAGACCUAAGGACCUUCUGAAGAUCUACUUCCUGAAGGUUCCAUCACUUCCUAGUAGGACCCUACCCUGUGAACCAAGCCUUUAACUUGGGGCCUUUGGGGGACAGUCAAUGUGUAAACUCUAGCACACAGUCAGUGAUCACUUAAUAGUGGGUAUCCUUCAUGCCACUCUGUCUUCUCAGGGCUGGAGAACACCUUGGGAUUCAUAUGGUGUGAUUCAGCCUGGCUCUUAGAGUUGCAGGUAUAGACAUGUUUAGUAAUUUGAUAUCUUUUGUCUCCGAUAAAAUCUAGUACCUGUAAAUGUCUUCUUGGACGAACACAUGUAUUGGUUUAAAUCUGGAAUGUCCCAAAUAGGCUCAUGGUCUCAAUAUUUGGCCUCCAGCUUGUGUUAAAAUUUUGAAGACUGUGAAGCCUUUAUGAGGUGGGAGCUGGCUGGUGGAAGCAGGGUAUGAAGCUUUUCAGAGUGUAAACCAUCUAGCACUUUCUGUUUCCUGGCUCAUCCCCUUGCGAGGGGCCUCCAUUGCAUGCUCUUUGUUCUGAGUGCUACAAGGCUUUCUCUGCCAUGAACUAAAAUCUCUCUGGCAGAGUAAACCUCUCUUGUUUCUGUCACAGUGACAUGGGACAUACAGAAAAUUAGUAUUGGGAGUGGGACUGUUGCUAUAGGAAACCCAGGUAUGUGAUUCUUAAUCUUUUAGAAGUGGUUUUCAGAAGGACCACGUAAGAGCGGAGAUUCGGACUGGAGAAGCUCACAGAUGCUGUAAGUAGAGCUUAUUGUGCAAAUCUGGUGGCCUUCUGAAGACCAACCUGUGGCAGACAUGCACACUGUAGGGUUUAUACUCAUGUGUUUUCAAAUGGGAACACAGAUCUUACUGAAAAUUGAUGUUGCAUUCUGGCAAAAAUCUGGCCACGCUCUGCCUAUAGUCUAAACAUUUGAGUGAGGCCGGAUUCAAGAAUAAAAGAUUAAUUUAUUUGGUGGAUGAAAUUGCAUGACUGCAUAGCAUCCAGGCUGAGGAUGCUUUUAGCUAGAUUUGCAAAUGAGAUCUAGAGCAAAAGGAUAUGGAAAAUGUAGUUUGGUGAGUGAGGCGGUGAAAGUUUGUUUACAGUGUGGGCUGCUAAAGAACUCAACCAUGAAGAAAACCCACAUUGGGUAGCUCACAACUGCCUGGAAGUCCAGUUGCAGCAGGAUCCAGUGCCUCUAGCUUCUUUGGCACCUGUUCUCUUGUUCGUACGUACAUCUACUCACACACAUAUGAACAUUAAAAAUAAAAAAAUAGACCUUAAAGAAAGAAGCCCCAAAUUUCACCCAAACAACAGGUGCUUUGAGGGCCCAUCCAUCAAAGGAUUAAGAAGCAAAAAUGCAAAUUUCACAUGGAAGACUUCAGCAGAGAAUUCCUGAAAAUGUAAGGCACCUAGGAUGUCCUGCUUGCAGACAGCCAUCUAGAGAAGUGCUUGCCCAGAUUUGGUGGUUCGGGCAUUCAAAGGCCACUGGAGUCAUGGUCCAAAGGUACCAGGCUACAUCUUGAGAUGUGGUGAUGCUCUAGUUUCUGUCUAGCUCUUUCUGCUUCUUGAUGUACUGAGAUGUGAGUCUUAGCCACAUGCUUCCACUGCUGUGAGCACAGCUGUGUCUUCUCUGCCGUGACGGACAGAAAUGCCUCUGAAACCACAAGCUCAAAUAAAUAUUUCCUCAUUUACGCUGUGUCUGUUGGGUAAUAUGUGACCACAAUGCACAAAAUAGCUAACAUGCCAUGGAAAUGCAGUUAGGGGGAGUGGGGUGGGCCCCAGGAGACUCAUGAGGCCAGGUGCAUUGGGCCUUGGUGCUCCUGCCUCUAACUCCCAAGCUCAUUGUGACUGGUUGCUGUAUACAUGAUUGCUGUCACUGACAGUAGCCACAAGGGCUGGGCUAGCAACAUGACUGGCCUGAGGGCCUCUCUAGUGCCUCCUUGGGAAUCCUUUCAUAUCCCUUUUCUUCUGAAAAGAAACGUCUCCUAGAGCAUGGAGGCCUCCUAUUCAUGGACAGUCCAGCACUAUCAGAGCCAUUUUGAACGGACUAGGAGAUCCCAAAGAGCUUAGCUCUAUGGCUUUCUCUCCUUCCUGUCUACUCUGGUUUGUGAACCAACUUCCUGCCAGUAGCUCACAGUAUAAUCAGUUGGAUGGUCAACAGGGUUUUUCUCCCUGGGGAGACACAGAUAUCUACCUCAGGGGACUGCUUCCGUAGGAUGGGGCUCUUUAAAGGCAGUUGGCUUAUAGUGAUACAGUGACCCCCCAUUUAUUUUUUCAUUUUUAGUGUAUGAACAGUUUGUCUUCAUGUAUAUCUGUUUACCACACGUGUGCCUGGUGCCUGUGGAGGUCAGAUGAAGGCAUCAUAUCCCCUGGAACUGGAGUUACAGGUGGUUGUGAGCCACUAUGUGGGUGCUGAGAAUGAACCUUGGUCUUCCUCAAGAGCAGGCAGUACUCUUAACCACUGAGCCAUCUCUCCAGUCCCUACCCACUUCUUUCUUUGUUCAGUUAGGGGCAAUUUACAAUCCUUCCAAAAUCUCAUUUCCUUUUUUUUGAUUAGAUUUCUUCUUGAUUUUCCCAUAAUUAAAUAAUGUUUGUUAACAACAAUAUUAGCCAGUGUACUAAUUGGGCAAUUUUCAUACAUUAUCUGUAAUCCACACCACAACCUGACUAAUUUUAUAGAUGAGAGGAGUGACGCUCAGAGAGAUCAGUGAUUGGCUAUCAACAUGCUGCUGAUAAUUUUUCGUGGCUUUACCUCAGGAGGAUGGGAAUUUUUCUUUUCAUUGGAAAUGAAAAAGAAAAUGUUUUCAUUUAUCUUUUGCUUCUUAAAUUUUCAAAACUGGCUCUCAAAACCCUUUUUGAGACUGUAGGUGGGAAAGCCAAAUACUUGGAUUCUCACAAACCUAGGUUUUGAGAGGAUGUGAUGGCUAAUCUUGGGUGUCAACUUGACUACAUUUGGAAGUAACUAAAAGCCAAGCAGCUGGGCACCUGUGAAGGAUUUUUCUUGGAUGGAUUAUUGUAGGUGGGAAGCCCAUUGUAAACGAUUCAUAAAUCCAUUUUUGAUAUUUAACUAUGUUAGUUUAUUCUAUCGGUUCUGUUUCUUCGAGAACACUGGCUUGUUUGUAUGCUUGAUACAUCAGAAAGCAGAGCCCUUUAUGUGAAAAGGCUUACAGCUUAUCUAUCCAUUUGGAAAGGGGGCUAAGAAAGGGUUUGUGUGCCAGGUAGUGGUGGCCCAGAACUCUUGGGAAGCAAAGGCAGGAGAUUUCUGUGAGUUUGAGGCCAGCCUUGUCUACAGACCUAGUUCUAGGACAGCCAAGGUCACACACACACACACACACACACACACACACAC
This 8275-nucleotide long non-coding RNA is filed under the name Cricetulus griseus (Chinese hamster). RNAcentral's name for it is "lncRNA (ENSCGRG00015042869.1)". The record is from RNAcentral. Lineage: Eukaryota; Metazoa; Chordata; Mammalia; Rodentia; Cricetidae.